This 1695-nucleotide ribosomal RNA is filed under the name Pseudomonadota bacterium. Its description in RNAcentral is "Proteobacteria bacterium (mine drainage metagenome) partial 23S ribosomal RNA". It matches the Rfam family "Bacterial large subunit ribosomal RNA", at positions 1 to 1840 of the family's 2925-position model. The record is from RNAcentral. Lineage: Bacteria; Pseudomonadati; Pseudomonadota.
AGUAAGCAAAAUAAGGGCAUUUGAUGGAUGCCUUGGCAUAGAAAGGCGAAGAAGGACGUGACAGGCUGCGAUAUGCCUCGGGGAGCUGCCAAUAAGCUUUGAUCCGAGGAUUUCCGAAUGGGGAAACCCACUUUCUUUUAGAAAGUAUCUCUGACUGAAUUCAUAGGUCAAAGAAGCGAAACCCAGCGAACUGAAAUAUCUAAGUAGCUGGAGGAAAGGACAUCAACAGAGACUCCGUUAGUAGUGACGAGCGAACGCGGACCAGGCCAGUCUUGGUAGUUUAAAAAUUAGAAUAACCUGGAAAAGUUAACCAUAGAGGGUGAUAGUCCCGUAUAAGUAAAAAAAGCUACCAAGCUCGAGUAGGGCGGGACACGUGAAAUCCUGUCUGAAUAUGGGUGGACCAGUUCAUCCAAGCCUAAGUACUCUUCUAUGACCGAUAGUGAACUAGUACCGUGAGGGAAAGGUGAAAAGAACCCCGAUAAGGGGAGUGAAAUAGACACUGAAAUCGAAUGCCUACAAGCAGUUAGAGCUCCAUUAGGGGGUGAUAGCGUACCUUUUGUAUAAUGGGUCGGCGAGUUAAUUUUGUUGUGCAAGCUUAAGUCGUAAGAUGUAGGCGUAGCGAAAGCGAGUCCUAACAGGGCGAAUUAGUACAGCGAAUUAGACCCGAAACUAGAUGAGCUAGUCAUGGCCAGGUUGAAGGUGAGGUAACACUCACUGGAGGACCGAACUCAUUAAUGUUGCAAAAUUACGAGAUGAGCUGUGAUUAGGGGUGAAAGACUAAACAAAUCUAGAUAUAGCUGGUUCUCCGCGAAAUCUAUUUAGGUAGGGCGUCAUAUGAUUACCGUUGGGGGUAGAGCACUGUCAAGGCUAGGGGGUUCAAAAGACUUACCAAACCUUAACAAACUCCAAAUACCAACGAGUUCAGUGUGGCAGGCAGACGGCGGGUGCUAAGGUCCGUCGUCGAGAGGGAAACAGCCCAGACCAUCGUCUAAGGUCCCUAAAUUAUCACUAAGUGGGAAAGGAAGUGAAGAGACCAAAACAACCAGGAGGUUGGCUUAGAAGCAGCCAUCCUUUAAAGAAAGCGUAAUAGCUCACUGGUCUAAAUAAGUCUUUUUGCGCCGAAAAUGUAACGGGGCUAAAGUGAUAUACCGAAGACAUGGAUUCACUGCAUUGUGCAGCUGAAUGGUAGCGGAGCGUUGUGUAAGUCUGUGAAGGUGAAUCGUCAGGUUUGCUGGAGAUAUCACAAGUGAGAAUGCCGACAUGAGUAACGAUAAAAAAUGUGAGAAACAUUUUCGCCGAAAAUCUAAGGUUUCCUGCUUAAAGUUAAUCUGAGCAGGGUUAGUCAGUACCUAAGGCGAGGCCGAAAGGCGUAGUCGAUGGAAAUCAGGUUAAUAUUCCUGAACCAAGUGGAGAGUGACGGAGCGUUCUUUUCUGUGUUUCCUUAUUGGAUUGGAGAUGCAGCGAAGUUGCUUCCAGGAAAUAGCCCCACGUUAAGACUGUACCAAAACCGACACAGGUAGAUGGGUUGAAAAUACUAAGGCGCUUGAGAGAACUGCACUGAAGGAACUAGGCAAAAUGCAUCCGUAACUUCGGGAAAAGGAUGGCCUGCUAUAGCGCAAGCUGCAGCAGGUGGCACAGAAAUGGGGGUAGCGACUGUUUACCAAAAACACAGGGCUCUGCUAAAUCAUUAAGAUG